AGAGGGCUCUGAACCAGUACCAGGCCCAGCUGGGAGAGCCAAGACCUGGCCUCGGACCCAGAGAGGACAUCCAGCGCUUCAUCCUCCGAUCCCUGGGGGAGAAAAGGCAGCUCUACUAUGCCAUGGAGCACCUGGGGACCAGCUUCAGGGAUCCUGACCCCUGGACCCCUGCAGCUCUCAUCCCUGAGGCACUUAGAGAAAAGCUCAGAGAGGAUCAAGAGAAGAGGCCUUGGGACCAUGAGCCUGCGAAGCCAAAGCCCUUGACCUACUGGAAGGAUGUACUUCUCCUGGAGGGUGUGACCUUGACGCAGGAUUCCAGGCAGCUGAAUGGGUCGGAGCGGGCGGUGUUGGAUGGGCUGCUCACCCCAGCCGAGUGUGGGGUGCUACUGCAGCUGGCUAAGGAUGCAGCUGGGGCUGGAGGCAGGUCUGGCUAUCAUGGUCGCCGCUCCCCUCACACCCCCCAUGAACGCUUCGAGGGGCUCACAGUGCUUAAGGCUGCGCAGGUGAGCACAGGAGGCACCCGGGCCCAUCUGAUGCCCAGACCUGGAGGAGAGGCUGUGCAGGAAGCCGGGCCCCAGGGCCUGGGCUUUUGUGAAGGAGCUUUCUUGGGACCUAGACUACCUGAUAGGACCCAGCAUGGAGAAAAGGGAUGUUCUGAGAGCUGGGGCAGUUUGGGCUGACGGACAGAGCUGGAUGCCGAGAGACUCCAAACCCACGGGUGGAGAGCAGCAGAGCUGGGCAGGGGCUAGGGCCGAGACCACCCUCCCAUUGCCUUCCUCCGUUUCUGCCCUGCCUUUCACUGCCUGCAGCUGGCCCGGGCUGGGACAGUGGGCAGUCAGGGUGCUAAGCUGCUUCUGGAGGUGAGCGAGCGGGUGCGGACCUUGACCCAGGCCUACUUCUCCCCGGAACGGCCCCUGCAUCUGUCCUUCACCCACCUGGUGUGCCGCAGCGCCAUAGAAGGUAUGACAGGGACCCCCCACUGCUCUUCUCCAACCUCAGGCCCUGCCCCCAGGACACUGCCCCCAAGAGCCCCGGGGUGGACGUGCAUGGCAUGAGCCCACAGGGUGGCAGA
RNAcentral lists this small RNA (1072 nucleotides) under Pongo abelii (Sumatran orangutan). Its description in RNAcentral is "retained intron". The record is from RNAcentral. Lineage: Eukaryota; Metazoa; Chordata; Mammalia; Primates; Hominidae.